Molecule: ribosomal RNA, 253 nt
Filed under: uncultured bacterium
Lineage: Bacteria
Description: partial 16S ribosomal RNA
Rfam family: Bacterial small subunit ribosomal RNA
Source: RNAcentral
UACGGAGGGUGCAAGCGUUAUCCGGAUUCACUGGGUUUAAAGGGUGCGUAGGCGGGCAGGUAAGUCCGUGGUGAAAUCUCUGAGCUUAACUCAGAAACUGCCAUGGAUACUAUUUGUCUUGAAUGUUGUGGAGGUAAGCGGAAUAUGUCAUGUAGCGGUGAAAUGCUUAGAUAUGACAUAGAACACCAAUUGCGAAGGCAGCUCACUACACGAAUAUUGACACUGAGGCACGAAAGCGUGGGGAUCAAACAGG